Molecule: non-coding RNA, 46 nt
Filed under: Schistosoma mansoni
Lineage: Eukaryota; Metazoa; Platyhelminthes; Trematoda; Strigeidida; Schistosomatidae
Source: RNAcentral
GUGAUGUUGAGGAGUCCCACAAUUGGACGAAACGGCCGUCCAGUAC